UUGUGCACACAUUGCCCGUCACGUUCCGAGAGUGGGGUGCAUCCGAAGACGCGGAACGAUGCCGCUCUGCUCGCCACCGUCCACGGUGACCCCCGCGAUUGGAAUGAAGUCGUAACAGGUUUGUGUAGGGGAACCUGCACAAGAGUUGUUCUAUUAA
Molecule: ribosomal RNA, 157 nt
Filed under: Leontynka pallida
Lineage: Eukaryota; Viridiplantae; Chlorophyta; Chlorophyceae; Chlamydomonadales
Description: small subunit ribosomal RNA
Rfam family: Bacterial small subunit ribosomal RNA
Source: RNAcentral